CCAGACUCCUACGGGAGGCAGCAGUGGGGAAUAUUGCACAAUGGGGGAAACCCUGAUGCAGCGACGCCGCGUGAAGGAAGAAGUAUUUCGGUAUGUAAACUUCUAUCAGCAGGGAAGAAAAUGACGGUACCUGACUAAGAAGCCCCGGCUGACUACGUGCCAGCAGCCGCGGUAAUACGUAGGGGGCAAGCGUUAUCCGGAUUUACUGGGUGUAAAGGGAGCGUAGGCGGUUUAGCAAGUCAGAAGUGAAAGCCCGGGGCUCAACUCCGGGACUGCUUUUGGAACUGCGUGGCUGGAGUGCAGGAGGGGCAGGCGGAAUUCCUGGUGUAGCGGUGAAAUGCGUAGAUAUCAGGAGGAACACCGGUGGCGAAGGCGGCCUGCUGGACUGCAACUGACGUUGAGGCCCGAAAGCGUGGGGAGCAAACAGGAUUAGAUACCCCCGUAUA
RNAcentral lists this ribosomal RNA (446 nucleotides) under uncultured bacterium. Its description in RNAcentral is "partial 16S ribosomal RNA". It matches the Rfam family "Bacterial small subunit ribosomal RNA", at positions 331 to 794 of the family's 1533-position model. The record is from RNAcentral.